Thrips palmi is the source of this 64-nucleotide non-coding RNA. NCBI's taxonomy places the organism in Eukaryota, Metazoa, Arthropoda, Insecta, Thysanoptera, Thripidae. The record is from the annotation of a RefSeq genome assembly.
AUGUUUCUGUUGUAAAAAGCAAAUCUAUUUUCCAAAUAGAAAGUCGAUCAAAAUCGGUAACAUC